RNAcentral lists this ribosomal RNA (496 nucleotides) under uncultured bacterium. RNAcentral's name for it is "partial 16S ribosomal RNA". It matches the Rfam family "Bacterial small subunit ribosomal RNA", at positions 28 to 507 of the family's 1533-position model. The record is from RNAcentral.
GAUGAACGCUGGCGGCGUGCCAAUACAUGCAAGUCGAGCGAACGGACGAGAAGCUUGCUUCUCUGAUGUUAGCGGCGGACGGGUGAGUAACACGUGGAUAACCUACCUAUAAGACUGGGAUAACUUCGGGAAACCGUAGCUAAUACCGGAUAAUAUUUUGAACCGCAUGGUUCAAAAGUGAAAGACGGUCUUGCUGUCACUUAUAGAUGGAUCCGCGCUGCAUUAGCUAGUUGGUAAGGUAACGGCUUACCAAGGCAACGAUGCAUAGCCGACCUGAGAGGGGGAUCGGCCACACUGGAACUGAGACACGGUCCCGACUCCUACGGGAGGCAGCAGUAGGGAAUCUUCCGCAAUGGGCGAAAGCCUGACGGAGCAACGCCGCGUGAGUGAUGAAGGUCUUCGGAUCGUAAAACUCUGUUAUUAGGGAAGAACAUAUGUGUAAGUAACUGUGCACAUCUUGACGGUACCUAAUCAGAAAGCCACGGCUAACUACGUG